GGGGACCCGCACAAGCGGUGGAGCAUGUGGUUUAAUUCGACGAUACGCGAAGAACCUUACCUGGCCUUGACAUAGAAAGAAUUUAGCAGAGAUGUAAAAGUGCUAGUUUACUAGAGCUUUCAUACAGGUGCUGCACGGCUGUCGUCAGCUCGUGUCGUGAGAUGUUAGGUUAAGUCCUGCAACGAGCGCAACCCUCGUGUUUAGUUACUAACAGAUUAUGCUGAGGACUCUAGGCAUACUGCCUGGGCAACCAGGAGGAAGGUGAGGACGACGUCAAGUCAUCAUGGCCCUUACGGCCAGGGCUACACACGUGCUACAAUGGGGUAUACAAAGAGCAGCGAUACCGCGAGGUGGAGCAAAUCUCAUAAAAUAUCUCCCAGUUCGGAUUACACUCUGCAACUCGAGUGUAUGAAGUUGGAAUCGCUAGUAAUCGUAGAUCAGCAAUGCUACGGUGAAUACGUUCCCGGGUCUUGUACUCACCGCCCGUCACACCAUGGGAGUUGAAUUCAUUCGAAGC
Molecule: ribosomal RNA, 517 nt
Filed under: uncultured Campylobacterota bacterium
Lineage: Bacteria; Pseudomonadati; Campylobacterota
Description: bacterial SSU rRNA
Rfam family: Bacterial small subunit ribosomal RNA
Source: RNAcentral